This 1536-nucleotide long non-coding RNA is filed under the name Homo sapiens (human). RNAcentral describes it as "LIMD1 antisense RNA 1". The record is from RNAcentral. Lineage: Eukaryota; Metazoa; Chordata; Mammalia; Primates; Hominidae.
AAAUAUCUGAAAUUUUGAUGCCGCUUUGCUCACAAUGUCAUCCUUUAUCCUUUAAACCUGGAGUUGUCUGAGGUGGUUUGCAAACUGCAAAGCGCCCUGUUCCCAAUGAUGCACCUGAGAAGUCUGUAAAUGGGGUAAAUUUAGGCAAACACACCUGGAAAAGUGGCAUUUUGGAGUGGGGAAUGCUGUGGCCGGAGGUUAGCAACCGGAUGAUGCAAAAGCGUAUUUAAGGCAGCAGUUCUGGCCUUUCCCCGCCACGGAGCAGAAGCCCCCAUAGUGAUGUGAGAAGCGGCGCUGUCCCAGUUUACUAGGAUGGGAUGGGCUUUGGAUCUAACCAGCAGCGAAGAAAACCUGCGGUGCGGCUGCGCUCGGUAGUAGGGGUCCACAAAGCGUCAGAAUCUGCAGCAGCCCCGGCCUUUGCGAGCUCCAGCUCCGAAGUCAACCCGGCCCCCAAAUUCCACUGGGAAACCUUAAGACACCGGUGUUUUUACCGUAAGAAGACCUCAGAAGCCCAUGGAAACAAGGCGAUGACGGCGCUUGAGGGUGACCAGACCUCCUCAAUCAUUCCAUCAGCCACCCAGGACUCAACAGCAGAACCUCAGAGGACUCAGCUGAAAGAGGUUUUCACUCGAGCACUAACCACAGAGAAAUGGGAAGUGCCAUCCUGCUGUCAUACGCAGCCGAUGGCUGGGUAGGACUAAAUGCCCUUCUGUGGUGAGAUGAACCAAGACGGCAGAUGGGGGAAUAACAUCAGUGAGAGAGAGAUUACGAAUGGAUCCUUGUAUUGCAGAUCAAACUGGGUUGUCUCUUCUCAAACCACCCAGGCAGUUUCUGAAUGUCCCAAGAUAGGGGUAGGAGAAAAGAAAAAAAAGACAAAACAGGAGACGGUGGGUAAGAAAACCUAAAAGGCACAAUGAGGCAAAGGCCUAAGAUGGAGGCUGGCUUUGGGAUCUGAAAUCCGGCCACAAUCCUCCUUGUUUUACCUCAAGUCCAAGAAUUGUCAAAAAGAAAACCCAGAAGGGCUAUUCAUUCUAAAUUUUAAAAUCUUUUCUUCCUGGCCUACCAAGUCCUUGUGUUUUCUUUCUAGGCGCCCAUAAAUACAACCCCAUUACAGUUCUAUUUGGCUAAUAAUUUACAGAACAUUUAAAAUACCGGGUAGGUGAACAUCUCUUCAUGGCUUUUGUGUAAGGGCCUGAAGCGAAGAGAAAAACAACUGAUUGGAGAUUCCUAUCUGGCGCCUUCUCCAGGGAAACUGACAACCAGAGAAAUCUGUUGCUAGGAUUUCUAGGACAUCUGGAAAUUCCCUUUUUGUUCUUUCUCAACAAUAUAAAAUGGUAUAUUCGCAAACCUAUCUGAAUCACCUCAAUCUAGGCCACUUUGAAAAUUUCAUUUAAAAAUGUAAUCACAGAUUUUUAAACUAAUUACCCAAUUUGCAAACAAAUCCCAGCUACUUCUGGUCUUGAACAUGGAGCAAAGGUGUGUCAGUAAGGCCAACAUUCUUAGGUUGACAGAGACAGGUUAACACAUUGGCUGGCU